GACGAACGCUGGCGGCGUGCUUAACACAUGCAAGUCGAACGGUAAGGCCCUUCGGGGUACACGAGUGGCGAACGGGUGAGUAACACGUGGGUGAUCUGCCCUGCACUUCGGGAUAAGCCUGGGAAACUGGGUCUAAUACCGGAUAGGACCACUGCCUGCAUGGGUGGUGGUGGAAAGCUUUUGCGGUGUGGGAUGGGCCCGCGGCCUAUCAGCUUGUUGGUGGGGUGAUGGCCUACCAAGGCGACGACGGGUAGCCGGCCUGAGAGGGUGACCGGCGACAUUGGGACUGCGAUACGGCCCAGACUCCUACGGGGGGCAGCAAUUAGGAAUCUUGCACAAUGGGGGAAACCCUGAUGCAGCGACGCCGCGUGAAUGAUGAAGUCUUUCGGGAUGUAAAGUUCUGUCCUACAGGGAAGAAGAAUGUGACGGUACCUGUAGAGAAAGCCCCGGCUAACUACGUGCCAGCAGCCGCCGUAA
Molecule: ribosomal RNA, 477 nt
Filed under: uncultured bacterium
Lineage: Bacteria
Description: partial 16S ribosomal RNA
Rfam family: Bacterial small subunit ribosomal RNA
Source: RNAcentral